GCCAUUAUGGCUAAUGACUGCCUUCCUUGCAUUUGAGCUUGGUGGGUGGCUGUUAGGUGUGUGGUUUCGGGGAUGUUUGCCGUAAAGGUGCAUGAGUGGUGUUUGGUUUGUUAUGGGUGGUUGGCUCUUUGCUUGCGCAACAACUUCCACCCGACAUUCCUCUUCAAUUUUGUUUCAAUGCUUGUAUUGCAUUGAUUGCACGAAGGGUUUCUUGUGUUGCAUGCCUAAUUGAAGGAAUCGUGUGACGAAUCGAUGAUUGCCUUCAUCUUGUGUCGCACAUGCGACGCGAGAUGAACCCUAAAGCAGCCCUUGUGAUCCACUCUUUCGUUGCACACGCAUUGAUUUUGUGGGUUGAUGAGUGUUUGCUUGGUCUCCUGGAUAUGGAACAUUGUGUGGGCAUGUGAACUUUUACUAGCUCAUCGUUUGCCCGAGUUAAGCUUCUUCAAAUACGAUUUCCUAUCAUGUCUUGGUGUGAUAGGAUAUAUCGAAUAUGAAUGCUACCUGG
RNAcentral lists this unclassified non-coding RNA (505 nucleotides) under Chrysocephalum pterochaetum. RNAcentral describes it as "partial external transcribed spacer". Lineage: Eukaryota; Viridiplantae; Streptophyta; Magnoliopsida; Asterales; Asteraceae. The record is from RNAcentral.